Coffea arabica (coffee) is the source of this 4599-nucleotide non-coding RNA. Lineage: Eukaryota; Viridiplantae; Streptophyta; Magnoliopsida; Gentianales; Rubiaceae. The record is from RefSeq and is a predicted model, not a curated record.
AUACAAGAGAAGAAAGAAAAGUUGGGGUCUGUUUUGUUGGUCUUCUUUUUUUCUUCUUCUUCUUCCUCUUCUUCCCCUCCUCCGUCUUCUUUGAUUUCUCAGCUCUCGCCUCUUCUCUUCCUUCAAAUGGACACCAUUUAAGCCCUCUCUUCAUCCUUCAAGGACCCAAAAUAAAUUAAAAACAGUAAGAUAACCCAACAAAAAAAAUUUUAAAAAAAAACAAGAAGAAGGACAAAAACCUCGGCCGAGGAGAGUGUCAGUGGAUUUUGCGAGUCCGAUCAUGGCGGUGGUUGAGAAUGCUGGAAUCAACGUGGUCGGUUCAUCCAAUCGUGCUGACUCGAAUGGUGCUGCGCAAAAUGACGUCGUCGGAGGCGAUCAUCACCACCACCUCCACCUUCAUCAUCAGUCCACAAUGACCACGCCGCCGGCCGCCAAUCACCCCAACCCAAACCCUCCGAUGCUCAGGUCAACGAAGCCACCGCCGUCGGCUGCUGCCGAUCAAACCUUCAUCAACCUCAUGGUCCAGCAGCAGCAGCAGAUGAUUGCUGCCCACCAGACGCCUUCUAGUGCUCCGCCCGCUGCUCCUGCUGCUACCAAUCAGAAGCCCCUUCCUAACUCGGGCAUUCAGCAUCACCAUAACAUCAACGGCAAUGGACUGCCUAACCGGAAUCACAGUGACAAUAAUAACAACGGCAAUCAACAUCAUCAUCACCACCAGAACAUCAAAGGUGUCGAUAUGAGGAGGAAUGGUGGAGUUGAUGACGACGACGACGACGAUGGUGGUUCUGAUGACGGUGGAGAGGGGUUUAAGAGGGAAAUGAGGGAUUUGGAGGAGAUGCUCUCUAAACUCAAUCCCAUGGCCGAGGAAUUUGUUCCUCCGUCUCUAGCCGCCGUCAAUCACCAUCACAGGCUGUUGCCCCCAGCUGCAGGGCACUUUGGUUUCAAUGCUAACAAUUUUUUGAUUCACACCAACUCCGGGAUUCCCACUGCAAAUUCAGCUAGAAGGAAGAAGAACAACUAUAGUCAUGGAAAGCGAAGAAUGAACAGCAGAACUAGUAUGGCUCAGCGAGAAGAUGUAAUUAGGCGGACUGUAUAUGUAUCUGACAUUGAUCAUCAGGUUACUGAAGAGCAACUUGCUGCUCUCUUUCUUAGUUGCGGACAGGUUGUGGAUUGUCGAGUCUGCGGUGACCCUAACUCUGUACUUCGUUUUGCCUUCGUUGAGUUUACUGAUGAGGAAGGUGCAAGGAAUGCUUUAAGUCUGGCAGGCACCAUGCUUGGAUUUUAUCCUGUUAGGGUUUUGCCUUCCAAAACUGCAAUUGCUCCUGUCAACCCAACAUUCUUGCCCAGGUCUGAAGAUGAAAGGGAGAUGUGUGCAAGAACUAUUUAUUGUACAAACAUAGACAAGAAGGUUACUCAAGCAGAUGUUAAACUGUUCUUUGAGUCCAUAUGUGGAGAGGUUCAUCGUCUAAGGUUGCUGGGUGACUAUCAUCACUCAACUCGUAUAGCUUUUGUUGAGUUUGUGAUGGUAACCGCCAUUUUCUUACUCAUUUUGCUUUUAGUCGUUCUCCUCCACUGUGAACUCAUUUUCUCUUCUAUCUUGCAACAUGAAUUCAGUUUCUCUUGCCUCUGCCUUAUUUUCUUUUCACUUUCUGUGAUUGAUUCUCUUUUUUAAUUUGUGAAAUUUAUGCUCGGUUAAGUUUCAAUUUUGAUUCCCUUAUGUGAAGCUUGCUUUUUUUUUUGGGUGCGUGUCACUGAGGCUUGGAUUUUGGGACAACUGUGCGGAUAGAAAUGAUUCUCCUUUUGCUGGUUUUAUGCCAUCCUCUCUAAAAGUUGAAGCUGGAUUAUUCUAAUUAUGGUUUCACUAUGUGCUAUAUUGAUUUUUCUCCGGUGCCGUUGUGGUACAGCAAGCUGGCUUUCUCAGUGAUGCGCAUAAAUGCUAGCUUGUAAGCUUGUGGCUAACAUGAGUGUGACUUUAAAAAGCUGGUAAUUUGGCUGUAGAAGUUGAUGUUGGACUGGAAAUGUCUAAGAUUCUUCAUGUCAAUCUGCUUUAGGAUCUGCUUGUCCACUUGUCCAUAAUAAUAAAACUUCCUUCUUGAUUGUCUGGCGAACUUUGAGACUGCCUAGAUAUACAUUAGUUGUCUCAGUUAAAGGAAAAGAGGAAAAGAGGUCUAUUUUCUUGUUGGCGAUUUCUUUCAUCAUCUCUUGCCUUAAUAAUAUGCGUACAAUCAGCUACCUGCCAUUGCAGUCUAAAAUCAGAAAGUGGUUUCUUUGGAGUGGUCUUCGUGAAGAUUGGCCAUAUGGUUAUCUGCUUAUUCUGGAUUUCAUAGGUAGUGGUUUCAGUCACUUCCACUUAUAACCCCCAUUAAGGCAGUAAUCUCUGGAUUUUACUCUUUUUCUUUGGAUCAUGUCAAUGCAGGAAGAACCAUUAGUUGGUAACAAUAUACUUAAAUUUUUGUGUAGAAUAUUCAAAAUAGGACCAUAAUUGUUGGUGUAUAUCUUGUAUUUGUUUCUUCAUGUUGGAAUCGUCACAUAAGAUUUCAGGAUACUGUUCUUUGAUGUUGUCAUCACAUUUUGGAAUUCCUCUUUCAACUCACAGGGACUGAUCAAAUUGAAGUAGUACAUUAUUACGCAUUACUUUCUUUUCAUGUCCAUCUUAAAGCGUCAAGCUUGGAAGACAAUAGUGGACAUGCAAGAUGCCUGAAUUUCUAGUUUAAGGAGACAAAUUCAGUGGACAAACCUGAUGUGACUUUGCUUGUGUAACUCUUAAUUUCUGAUUUGGUUUGGCUUAGUAGAUAAAUAUUUGUGUAUCCGCACAUGUAGCCUGCACACCAUUUCUGACUGGAGUUGGAUAUUUGAUUGAGAAGCGUUUCUUUUGGGAUCAAUAAUGGGUUUGACCUUCUCUCUCAAAACACACAUAAUUCUUUUGAUAUUUAAGAGAGUGUACAUGCAAACUGUACUAAUCUCGUGAUGAUGGUAAUUGAGAAAUUUAAGCUUCUGAAGUUUCACAUUCUAUCACUAUUUUAUUUUGGAUUUUCUGAAUGAGGGAAAGCUUAUUUGAGGCUUAAGAGGAGAGAGAGUUUUUGGGGAAUAAUGAAAACAUUGUUCUAGGGACGAAAAGAUAACUUUCUUUGAAUCCAGUCAUGAGGUUGCUUGUAAUGCAUAUUUAAAGAUGACAUCAAGAUCAAUUUUGAUGCCCAGCCCCCAAGAACUUGUCAAGAGAACUAUAUUAGUAACUACGUGUUCAGAUUUUUCUUAGUUGAUAAGCUGAGACAUCAGAACAACUUGAUCAAGUCUUGUCAUCUUGGAAACCUUGAGUUGUGUGGACUGCUAAGCUGGAUGUUAAUGUUGUUUGGAACCUUGCUUACCUUAGUUAGCCAGUGGUGGUGAUGCUGCUUGUGUUUCCUGCGAAGAGUCAGGAGUAUGAACUGUGUUAGUCCACAUUCUUUGUAAGGGAGGCUGGAUGCUGAAUUGAAACAUCUUGGGCUUUUUAAGAAAUCAGUGUUGGAUAGUGUAUUAUUGGCAGCUUGGUGAUUUAAUCCAUUAUAACCUUGAACUAUAUUAUCUUCUGAUUGACUCAAGUGGAUGGAAAGAUUCAUUUGGAUAUGCAUAUCAUCAAUCGAGGCCAUUCUAGUUUCCUAAUAGUACUUUUUAUGAUUGCCUAGUUUGUGAGAUUGCUGUGGUUAUGUUACAUUUUAAUCCCUCAUAUUAAUUAAUAGUUUGUGAAUAACUUCUUUGCCUAGGAUUUUGGCUUUUAAGCCUUUGCCCUUGUAUAGUUCAUCUAAGGAAGUAUAUCUUUCUUGUCUCAGUAGCUACUAUUGCUCAUAUUUGGCCACCAUCAAAGAAUAGUUAUGUAGUUGCAGAGGCUUCAGUACCUUGCAAAAUUUUCAAGGUUUUUGCUGUAUUUGAGUUACCUUUUCCUUGCCCAAUUUCUGUGUGACCACCUUUCUGCUAGGUAGUUGACAAAACAAGUCUUUUGUGAACAUCUAUGGAAUCAUACUACCAUCUUCCAUGACCAGUUAGUGAUCUAUUGUGGGGUGAAACGUGGACUUUCUGUCUUAGUUAAGACAGCAUGUUCUCAAUUUGUGGAAAACUUUUAUGUCCUUUGGAAUGGGGAGUGAUGCCUUUCCUGAAUAUUUAUGGAAUUCUCUUCGUUUGCAGGCUGAGAGCGCAAUUGCAGCUCUGAACUGCAGUGGCGCAGUCUUGGGUUCACUUCCGAUAAGGGUAAGCCCGUCAAAGACUCCUGUUCGACCGCGUGCUCCUCGCCCACCUAUGCACUGAAGUCCUUGGCACUUGCUUUAUGCUGAUCUUCUGCUGAUGAAUAUAUAUAUAUAUAUAUAUAUCUCCAUAUCUAUAUAUAUGCAUACAUAGAUACAAACACAUUUUAAGGUACUUUGUCACGUUUACGUUUAUUAGUUUUGUUCAUUGCAUAUGAGCUGGGUACCUCCCAGCCUCCGGGGGAAGGUAUUGAUCGUUGUCUGCUUUUAGCUUGUAGAGUUGGACGGGGUUGAAUGGUGAAGUUGGUUUAAUUAUCAUGUUACGUCUGUGGCCAGUGCAAAACUCUUUGAUGUUUCUAACUCAAAGAUCCAUGAUUUAAUCUUA